This 265-nucleotide ribosomal RNA is filed under the name uncultured bacterium. Its description in RNAcentral is "partial 16S ribosomal RNA". It matches the Rfam family "Bacterial small subunit ribosomal RNA", at positions 793 to 1055 of the family's 1533-position model. The record is from RNAcentral.
GUCCUAGCCGUAAACGAUGAACACUAGGCGUAGUCGGUAUCGACCCCGGCUGUGCCGUAGCCAACGCAUUAAGUGUUCCGCCUGGGGAGUACGGCCGCAAGGCUAAAACUCAAAGGAAUUGACGGGGGCCCGCACAAGCAGCGGAGCGUGUGGUUUAAUUCGUCGCAACGCGAAGAACCUUACCAGGGCUUGACAUGCACCGGAAAACGGCGGAAACGUAGUCCUCCCGCAAGGGAUCGGUGUGCAGGUGUUGCAUGGCUGUCGU